UGGGGAAUUUUGCACAAUGGGGGAAACCCUGAUGCAGCGACGCCGCGUGAUUUAGAAGGCCUUCGGGUUGUAAAAAUCUUUUCUAUGGGAAGAAAAUGACAGUACCAUAGGAAUAAGGACCGGCUAAUUACGUGCCAGCAGCCGCGGUAAUACGUAAGGUCCGAGCGUUGUCCGGAAUCAUUGGGCGUAAAGGGUACGUAGGCGGGUAAGCAAGUUAGAAGUGAAAUCCUAUAGCUCAACUGUAGUAAGCUUUUAAAACUGCUCAUCUUGAGGUAUGGAAGGGAAAGUGGAAUUCCUAGUGUAGCGGUGAAAUGCGCAGAUAUUAGGAGGAAUACCGGUGGCGAAGGCGACUUUCUGGCCAUAACCUGACGCUGAGGUACGAAAGCGUGGGUAGCAAACAGG
Molecule: ribosomal RNA, 402 nt
Filed under: bacterium
Lineage: Bacteria
Description: partial 16S ribosomal RNA
Rfam family: Bacterial small subunit ribosomal RNA
Source: RNAcentral